GGGGAUUUAGCUCAAUGGCACAGCACCUGCCUUACAAGCACAAGGUACUGAGUUCAAUCCCCA
This 63-nucleotide transfer RNA is filed under the name Heterocephalus glaber (naked mole-rat). It matches the Rfam family "tRNA". From Rfam's summary of the family: Transfer RNA (tRNA) molecules are approximately 80 nucleotides in length. Their secondary structure includes four short double-helical elements and three loops (D, anti-codon, and T loops). Lineage: Eukaryota; Metazoa; Chordata; Mammalia; Rodentia; Bathyergidae. The record is from Rfam by way of RNAcentral.